UGGGGAAUAUUGGGCAAUGGGCGCAAGCCUGACCCAGCAACGCCGCGUGAGGGAAGAAGGUUUUCGGAUUGUAAACCUCUGUCCUAUGUGACGAAGGAAGUGACGGUAGCAUAGGAGGAAGCCCCGGCUAACUACGUGCCAGCAGCCGCGGUAAUACGUAGGGGGCGAGCGUUGUCCGGAAUGAUUGGGCGUAAAGGGCGCGUAGGCGGCCUGGUAAGUCCGGAGUGAAAGUCCUGCUUUUAAGGUGGGAAUUGCUUUGGAUACUGUCGGGCUUGAGUGCAGGAGAGGAAAGCGGAAUUACCGGUGUAGCGGUGAAAUGCAUAGAUAUUAGGAGGAACAUCGGUGGCGAAGGCGGCUUUCUGGACUGACACUGACGCUGAGGCUCGAAAGCGUGGGGAGCAAACAGGAUUAGAUACCCUGGUAGU
Molecule: ribosomal RNA, 425 nt
Filed under: uncultured bacterium
Lineage: Bacteria
Description: bacterial SSU rRNA
Rfam family: Bacterial small subunit ribosomal RNA
Source: RNAcentral